This is a non-coding RNA of Podarcis lilfordi (Lilford's wall lizard), 10465 nucleotides long. NCBI's taxonomy places the organism in Eukaryota, Metazoa, Chordata, Lepidosauria, Squamata, Lacertidae. The record is from the annotation of a GenBank genome assembly.
AGGCUGUGAAGUCUAUUCUAAGGUAGUCAUGCUGAGUACCAAAGCAAGAGAAUCAUUAUUCGGGAUUAUUCAAAAUACUGUUAGCACAGUACCUCAGCUGUUAUUGCUUAUCGGCUUCUGAGAGCGCUGGAUUUGGCAGGACCGUGCUACCUGCUCAGUUUAUAAUUGGGAGCUUAUAACUGAUUGUAUUCCUUGCGCCAGACUUCAGGUAACUGGAAGUACAAAUAUUUCCAUCCCAUUCAGAAUCAUCAACAGUUUAAACCAAAAAAGCGAAAGGAUUAGAAAUUAGGUAAAAUUAAUUAAAUCGUUUAUGGAAUAGAUUUAGCCAGCUAUUAGGAUUGGGAAUGCAUAAAGUUCUUAACCUUUUGCUAAAUGGAAUACUAAGAAGUGGAAUGUCUAUCUGAGAAUUCAACAGGUAUAAUAGUUUAAAAAGUACCUCAUAACAGGUUUGUUAGCUGCAUUGUCAGCCUUCUUCUGUUACAUUGUAUGACCAGCUGUCAGGCUUGCAUCUUUUCUGUCCUGUGGGUGGUCUACCUCAUAAUAAUAAUAAUAAUAGUAAUAAUAAUAAUUGUCAAGGCUGCCUCAGGUCUCAGCUCACAAAAGACCAACGCCAAUCUCUUCUUAUAUACAAAAGUGUUUAUUGCAGUUCAUUGCUUGCUUCAUAUCCGAGGCGCGCAGCCCCACGUCUGUACGCUUAGACCGUUGAAGUCCCCUCUGAGUCAGUCCCUCCCCUGCACCAGUUUAAGAGCCUUGCGCUGCUCCACCUCUUCCUCUCUUUCCUUUUCCGCAGGGUCUUCCUGCCCCCUGGGGUUUCGCCCCUCCUGGAUUCCCCUGACGCGGAAUCUCCAGACUGCUCUCCCCCCCUCCUGUGGGCUUUGGGACCUGGCCCCUCCUCCGGGCUCCCUGUACUUCCGCGCGCCUCUACAUUUGAACUUGGCGCGCGCCCAACCUCUAACCUUCCUUUUGACAGUUACACUACUCCCUUCACUACUCCCUCCCCUUCCGGGAGGGUGGCUUGCUCCGACCUCCCUCCCUUCUCUGCUGCCGGAGCUGCUUCCCCUGAUACACUGGAACCUCCACCCCCUUCGCUGCACUCUGGCGGGGAGGCUGGUCCUGACGCCCAGCUGCCACUUUGGGAUCCCCGCUGGCCCCUGUUCCUGACACGUCCCCCUGGGGCUCCCUGGCCUUGACCACUGGCGCCCCUUCUGGGAAUCCUCUGAUUCGCUGGAAAGACUCAUGGAAUCUCUUGAGUCAUUGUCAUCCUCUUCCUCGCUGUCCUGGGAUUCAUCCCCAUCGCUCUCCAUCUCCUGCCUACCCUGUGCCUCUGUCCCUGAACCCCUGACAAUAAUAAUAAUAGUAAUAAUAAUAAUAAUAAUAAUAAUGUGCCACCUUUAUGCCUGUAGACAUGUUUUUAUCUACUUGUUUCACUUUGUUUUAUAAACUAAAUUUUUAGAAACAUAAUUGGAGUGAACAUCUGCAUUCAUCCGGUAGUAGCUUUGUAUUUUUCGUGUGUGGACAAAUGGAGUUAAUGGUGGGUGCUUCUUAAAUCAGAUCUAUAUUGGGUACUUGUGACUGAAGAUUUUCAGUGUUUGCACUGUUUCAGACAUCACAUUUCUAAUAUAUAUAAGUUAUAAGUUCUGUUUCUCCAGAAAAAGAGGUGCUGCUACUCAGCAUGAACGCAUCCCUUUUUCUCUUAGAAUGGCAAUGACACCCACCUGAGAGAUGCCGGUACUAAGUUCUGGUGAGCUCUGGCUGAAAAAAAAGCCCUGCAUAUAAUAUAUACACUAUCCAUUUCAUUGUAUAUUGUCCCCCCUUCUUUCAUUCCCCCCCAUACGCUACACUGUGCAUAAAUGGUAAAUGCAGUGUAUUUUUUUCUGGGCGUACUCAAGGAUACACAGUAUUGGCACCUUUUUUCCCUAGAAGAAAAGCACUGGAUAAAUGUAUUAUUCUUGCACCUCUUGUGCAAAAAAGCCUUAUCAAGGGAGCCAAGCAGAAUUCUCCUGUCUCCAUCUAGUAAUCUUCUAACACAAGAUUACUUCAUCAGCAGUUCACUACAAGCAGACUCCUUUCUGUGUCUCUCAUAGAACAUCCCCUCUUCCCUUAUCGUUCCCUCCCUUUUGCAUGUAUUCUAAUAUGAUUUUCAUUUCAUGCCUCUGCUGUACACACAGGGCUAUUUAUUCCAUGCCAGUUUAGUCUGGCAAAUCAAUCUCUGCCCAUUCAAAUAAAAGAGAGCAGUCUAUUUAUCCCACCCACCCCACCCUCCGUCCCUCAGAUUAAGUUAUGCUAUGAUAUACUGAAAUGUUGUUGUUGUUUAGUCGUUUAGUCAUGUCCGACUCUUUGUGGCCCCAUGGACCAGAGCACGCCAGGCACUCCUGUCUUCCACUGCCUCCCACAGUUUGGUCAAACUCAUGCUGGUAGCUUCGAGAACACUGUCCAACCAUCUUGUCCUCUGUCGUCCCCUUCUCCUUGUGCCCUCCAUCUUUCCCAACAUCAGGGUCUUUUCCAGGGAGUCUACUCUUCUCAUGAGGUGGCCAAAGUAUUGGAGUCUCAGCUUCACGAUCUGUCCUUCCAGUGAGCACUCAGGGCUGAUUUCCUUAAGAAUGGGCAUGUUUGAUCUUCUUGCAGUCCAUGGGACUCUCAAGGGUCUCCUCCAGCACCAUAAUUCAAAAGCAUCAAUUCUUCGGCGAUCAGCCUUCUUUAUGGUCCAGCUCUCAUUUCCAUACAUCACUACUGGGAAAACCAUAGCUUUAACUAUACGGACAUUUGUCGGCAAGGUGAUGUCUCUGCUUUUUAAGAUGCUGUCUAGGUUUGUCAUUGCUUUUCUCCCAAGAAGCAGGUGUCUUUUAAUUUUGUGGCUGCUGUCACCAUCUGCAGUGAUCAUGGAGCCCAAGAAAGUGAAAUCUCUCACUGCCUCCAUUUCUUCCCCUUCUAUUUUCCAGGAUGUGAUGGGCCCAGGGGCCAUGAUCUUCGUUUUUUUGAUGUUGCGCUUCAAACCAUAUUUGCGCUCUCCUCUUUCACCCUCAUUAAAAGGUUCUUUAAUUCCUCCUCACUUUCUGCCAUCAAGGUUGUAUCAUCUGCAUAUCUGAGGUUGUUGAUAUUUCUUCUGGCAAUCUUAAUUCUGGCUAGGGAUUCAUCCAGCCCAACCGAUAUACUGAAAACCCAUAAGCAAAACCACAUCCCAUUAGAUUAAACAGCAGUGUAUUCCAAUCUUCCUAAACCUAAUGCUCUCCAAAUGUUUUGGACUUCAACUCCCAUAAUCCCUGUACAUCGGCCAUACUGGCUGGGCUGAUGGGAAUUGGAGUCCAAAACAUAUCUACUAUGUUGGGGAGUGCUAAUGUAGUUAACUGAAGGCAAUGUAGGUAUGAAGAAGGAAUACAGCCCUGAGAAGUAGUGGCAGCCAGGGAAGCAAAAGGGCUUUAAAAAGUAUCAAAGCAUUUAUUUAUUUUUGCCAGUGUCCCCCACUUGCUUCAUUUGGCAGCAUCAGACAUUUUGAAAACAACAUUGAAAUCAGAGAAUAAUCUAUGCACCCCUAAUUUUUAUUUACAAAACUUCUUUUCAGCCAAAAGGCAUUUUUUCCUGUAUGUUUCACCAAUCAGAAGCCUAGGAGAAAUGGAUAAUCAAAACGUUGCCCUAUCCCUCCUGUUGGCUAGACCAUUCUACUGCUGUGCACCGUGUUAGAGGUCAAGUGAGGUAUAUUAACCUAAUCCCCAGGUACAAGCGGCAGAAAGGGUACAUUUUUCUAUCACCACAUGAUUGGGGAAAAGCUAGCAACUGUGGAAAUUAUUCUAUACGAUGUAGAAAUUCAUAACUGCAAGGUACCAAGAGGCUGAGGUUAUCUCUUUACAAAGCCUUGGGGAUCUUUAUGUCCAGCCAAACCACUCAUUCUGUGAUAAAUUGAAGAGAGGAGUUAUAAAUGUGACCUCUGCUAAAAAUGAAAUGAAAAGUGAUCGGAAAAGUAACAGUCACAAGUUGGGGCUGUCAUCUGUUUUCUCAAAAGUUCGCUUCCUCUGUGAAAGAGGCUUCAGAUUUGCUGCCUCUAUCUCUGGACACGAGAAUUUCUUUCACAUUUUGGUGACAUAGAAAAGGUAGAUUUUGGCACAGCGUUGCCACAUGUGGUUUUCUUUCUGCCAGUGGGGAUCAUGGACAUUGAAUUAGAUACUCCGUGACCCUUGGUAUAAUAUGGCACACUCUGCCAUGAAAAAGAUGCUAUGCUACCAGCAUCUUCACUUUCCAAACAGUUGAGAAAGAAGGCCUCUUUCAUCUUAGAACUGCAGCCAACUGCUUCCUGGUCCUGGUCCCCAGGAUGAGUUUUUCCCUCCUUUAAGCUGGAGGUAGGUUAUCUCAGCACCUGCCAACCUGCUGUCUUUCAGAUGUUUGGGACUACAGCUCCCAUUAGCCCCAGGCAGCAUGGACAAUUGUAGUCCAAAAUAUCUGAAGGGCAGCACUAGAUUGGUGAUGACUGGUUAAGGGAAUCUGAGAACUUCAAGCAUUCUUCUGACUGUUCAACCUUGCCUCCUGAUGAGUCUUUUUUAUGAAAUUUACAAAUACAAAGUAUAAAUAAACACAAGCUAGUAAAAAACCUAUCUGUAUAAGGAGAUUAUCCGAGUCUCAUCUUAAACAUUUACAACUGCAUCUUCAUCCGUACUCCAAUUUUUAUAUCAAACCAUAUUGUCCAUAAUAAUUUUUACACUACAAGUGAGUCAAAAUCCUGCUAUUGUUUCCAUCUGCUUACAGUGGUCUCCUAAAUAACUUAUAGAUUUUUCCCAUUCUUUUAUAAGGUUUUUAUACUCCUGGUUUCUAAGUUUUCCAGUCAGCUUUGCCAUCUCAGCAUAAUCCAUCAGCUUGGUUUGCCAUUCUUCUCUGGUAGGGACUUUGUCUUCUUUCCAAUUCUGGGCUAAUAACAUCCAGGUGGCCAUUUCUCCAUACAUAAAGAGUCUUUUUCUGCUCCUUUGGUACGUCGGUACCUGUAAUUCCUAAUAAAACGGCUUCUGGUUUCUUAACAAAAGUUAUUUUAAGCAUUUUUUUCAUUUCAUUAUAAUAUAUCAUCCCCCAGAAAGCUUUUAUUACCUUACAAGUCCACCACAUAUGAUGAAAAGUACCUUUUUGAUGAGUUUUGAGCACUCAGAUAGACCACUCUAAAGAACCCAACUCAUGUUGAGGUGAUUUUAUUUGUCCUUCCUUCUGCAUUUGAUGUACCAAUAUAAUUGUUAUUUUAAGUACCAGAAGUGCUGGGUGUGUUUUACUGUGAUUUGUUAUGUGCCUCAAGCAACUAAGAAGAGGAAUGUUAAAAACAUUGCUAUCGUUUUAUUAGGAGCAGUACAAUUUAAGGGGCAGGAGCUCAGAUCUGAGGCUUGGACAUUAUUGGGGUUGAUUUUUAACACCAAAACAAUUAAAUACUUCAAAUAAAUUUAUCUAGGAAGCCAGAGUCCAUCAUUUCUUAGUGCUGCUUAUUUAAUUUUCUGGUUGGGAUCGGAUCUUUAAAGAGACUUUCUAUUAACAACAUUAAGUCCUUGAAAUGAGGGCACAUGCUGAGUUAUGUGACUGUUAAUGUCUGCAAGUGCCUUGAAGAGAGCAGGACUAGCAUAUUCUUAUUAGUUGCUAAGUGUUCUAUAGACUUCAAAUGACUUAUCAUUGCAUAGCCAUAAUUGUUUUAAAAGCAUCUCAUAUAGAUUAGCUACCACUUAAAGGCAUCACCUGGAAUUGACUGUAGCAAGAGAAUUGAGCAAUCUGAAUUCAUUCAUCAGGAAGGUAAGUACAGCAAUGGUUGUUAUUGCAGGAAGGACAGGAUUACACACACACACACACACACACACACACACACAGUCAUACCUUGGAUCCCGAACGCCCUGGAACUCAGACAUUUUGGCUCCCGAAUGCCGCAAACCCGGAAGUGAUUGUUCCAGUUUUUUAACGUUCUUUUGGAAGCCAAAUGUCCGCCAGGGCUUCAGUGGCUUCUGAUUGGCUGCAGAAGCAUCCUGCAGCCAAACAGAAGCUGCAAUUUGGUUUUCAAAUGUUUUGGAAGUCGAAUGGACUUCCAGAACGGAUUCUGUUCAACUUCCAAGGUCGUAUUGCACUCUACACCUCAUGAAACCAAAAUGGCAUGAACCACACAGGAGGUACAGUGGACGUUCGGGUUGCGAACAUGAUCCAUGCAGGAGGCACAUUCGCAACCCGCAGCAUUCGCAACCCACAGCGCCAUGUCUGCACUUGCACGGGUUGCGGUUCAGAGCUUCUGCGCAUGUGCAAAGCACAAUUUAGUGGUUCUGCGCAUGCACGAGCACCAAAACCUGGAAGUAACCCAUUCUGGUACUUCCAGGUUCAGCCCGGUGCGCAACCCGAAAAUGCACAACCUAAAGCGUCUGUAACCCGAGGUAUGACUGUAUUAGUCAGUAUAUUGGUGUACAGUAUAGAAAACCCUGCUUGUGUGUGGGGCGGGAGUACUGAAAGAGAAUAAACAGGUUUGGAUUCUAAUUCUGAGCAGGAGGGAGAGUAGGGUGGAAAAGUGAGUGGACAGUGGAAAGAAAUGGAGCUUCAUGGAGGAGGGCGAGGCUCCCGCUUUCGUAUUUCCUGUUAAGGUCAGAACCCCUGGGCUGCUGUGUGUUACCCUAGAACUGAAAGAUAUAUCUCAGCACAAGGAGCUCUCCUGACUUAUAGUCCUGGUGGCUCACCACAUGAGGUGACAACAUGAAGAUCUCAGAUUUAUUGAUUCUAACCCACAAGGCCUAGACACUUUCCUGUCCUGUAUGCCUGUGUAGAAGCAAAUUAUUUUGUUGUGCUGCCAAAGUAAAAUAGGCAGCAAAGCCAUGGAAUGUGGAAGCAUGGAUUGGUGAGUCCCCUGGCAACCUCAGUAGGUGGCAUCUGGUCUCCCCUCCCCCCAUCCUACGUUCUUCAGCUGGUGGUGGAAGGAAGCAGAAUGGCAGUGCCAUGGGUGGGGGGAACAUUUACAGGGCUUCCAUGCCCCACUCAUGCCUGCUAAAUCCGCUGAGUUUCCCAUGGGACCAGUAAGCGUUUAAGCCCUAUCAGAAUCACCUGCCUGUUGGUCUGCUGCCCCUGCUGCCCUAGGUGUGCAAUGUCAUCCACUGCAGAGGACUAGCCAAGUUGUCCUUCCAAACCAGUAUCAUUCUUAAGCUUUGCUGCUACCUCCUUUAGGUGGGGUGCAAUGCCAACCGAAACCAGUUUAAAGAGCCAAAGAUCUGCUGAUCUGCAGUGCUACUACUCUCUGCCCUGUUUGCUUUCAUAAAUCUGAAUUUCUGGCAGCUUCAUUUCAUGGUGUUGCAACACUGGACUCCCAGGAGGCCGUAGAAGGUAAGGCUGAGCAAUUUCAUCAUGUUUUAAGGUCAAAACACCUACCCGUUCCCGAAGGCAAUGGAAUAACAAAUAUAACCACCGGUUCCAAUGUUCUGUACAAAUCGAAUCAACAGAGAAGGAAUGGUUUAAACAAAUAGGGAAUAUUUAUCACACGAGCUACACUUGUUUUUAUUUAAAAGAAGAAGGGGGAAGUGGUACCGUGCUCCAUUUUCUGUUUUAUGUUGCUACACAGACAUUCUUCACUGCUAAUGAGGGAACGGUUUUCAUUCGGGCUCACUUUUUCAUUUUGGAGCUGAACAUGGCUUCUCUACGCUUGCAGGAAAGGCAGUUGCUAAAUCCUAGUAGAUUGGAUGUAUCUGUGAAUUUAGGAGUGCAGUAAUGGCAGAGAGACGGGGCUGGUAGUGUUAUUCCAACACAAGUCAGUUAAAAUAUAUAAACAUGGAGUGGAAAACAAAGGCAGAGUGGCAAAUUCAUCAGGAAGGGUGUAAAUUUAAUUUUCGUUUUGGGCCUUUUUAUGUGUUCAUUAUUCUGGCUCAGAUAACAAGCUAGCAAGCUAACAGCCCAGUUCUAUGCCUUUUAAAAAAUAUUUAUUCCUCUCCACUGCUUGGACCUUGGAGUUGUCCCAUUUUGUCCUCAUGAAAGCAAUAAAACAGGUGAACUUCAAACCGGUGAUGGAUGCAGAAUUUAGUAGCAGAGGAAGGAACAGUGUGUUACACAAGGCCAGGCUAUUUGUCCAUCUAGUCUACUCUGACUGCCAGUAGCUCUCUGCAGUCUGAGGUAAAGGUCUCCCAUAUCACCUGCUAUCUGGAUCCUUUUAAGUGGAGAUGUCAUAGAGUGAGCCUGGGGGUUUUUGCAGAAGCACAGCAGCCCAAGGUGUUUUGACAAAAAAAAGGUCUUUCUCAAUGACAAUGGUCUAUUUCAAAGAACGGAGUCCUCUGAGAUGUAUCAGAAUGUGUCUCCAUUUUCCGUCAUUUACAAUGUUUUCAGCAGUUGAGAUACCUGGCACCAGUUUUUCAAUUCCUUGGACAUUUUUGGUGCUGUCUUCCUUCACUUUCUUUUUGUAUUUUGUCUUCCAGGUACUGCAUGUAACCAUGAACCUGUUUUUUGAAUGAGAGGAAGGUACGUCAGAAAAGACAGCUCCAAGCUAUCCCAAGGUUGAGGGGGAAACUACAUGUUACUCUGUAUUCACAGCAGUAUUUAUUGUUUCUUCAAUUAAUUUUUGCACGUGCUCUGGUCCAUGGGGUCACGAAGAGUCGGACACGACUAAACGACUAAAUGACUAAACAACAACAACAAAAUCAUAACUAUUGAGCCACAGUAACCCAGAGCAGAUCUUGGGUGUGACUGGCUGUUUUUCUGUGGCACAGCAUCCCUGUUUAUAUACAACAGGUGCCCACAAUCUGCAUUUUCCAGAAACAUUUUAAUUUAAAAAAAUUCUCAACAAGCUUUUCCAGCUGGAUGAAAAGUUUUCUGCUUUAGGUAAUCAUCUUGUAUGGUUUUGUACAUACCAUUGUUUGUUGUUUGUAUGGCUGUUCAGAAUUCAGAACCAAACCAACCAGGCAAUCUGCAAUUUCUUCCUUUGUCCAAACUGGGAAACUGUGGUUUCCAGCUUCAGACCAAAUCAGAAUAUUAAUUCAGAGAUGGAGUUUGGAUUAUGUUGGAUUGUUCAGAAACUGGUAACCUAGUUUGAAUGAAAUGGAAAACUACAGUUAAUUAGAUACUGCUUUUAAAUAAGCUUACAUCACAAAAGGAGGGAUGAAGGGGCUGCAUAUACAGGCCAAAGACAUUCAUAUCUUGGCUUAUUAAGCCAUUUUUAUUAUGGGUGCAAGAUAGUGUGUUUGUCUAACUCUCAAGGAACUAAAAUGGCUAUAUCAAAACCCUUCCUCACUCCCUUGCAGUUCUUCAGACAUUUCUCUUAAACAGGACCAUUCAAAUUUACCUCAACACUGUGCUUUGGAGGAAAUUUAGUGGCACAUUUAGUAAACCAGGACAACUGGCAAUGCUUUCCGUUAUAAGGGAACUCCAGCCAGAUACUAUGAGUAACACAUUAUCUCGCUAUCGGCUGGUAGGAGGAACUCCCCCCUCCCUGAAUUAUACCUUUUAAUAUUUUCUACACAUUCAAAAGAAUUGCUAGUGGUCCUAGAGUAAAAGCAAGGCCUUUGUAGGAAAACAUAAAAAGAUGGAAAAAGCCACCCAGAAGAUGUCACAGCUCAUUAAAGAUGCAAAUUAAAAAAUGUCCAAAGCAUGGAGAUUUGCUUAACCUUUUACCAAUGUCUAAAUCCUUAAUAUGAUACUUAUAUGUCAGCUGGUUUGCCACAGAUCUAAUAAAGAAGCUUCUUCAAGCAUUGCUACAAGGAGAGCUGCUUGGAUCCAGGGCAACAUUUUAAGUGCUUUUAUCUGAGAGAGAGAGAGAGAGAGAGAGAGAGAGAGAGAGAGAGAGAGUUAAGCUAGCUUAUUUGCCCUAGGAACUCUCCAGGCCAAGAAUGUCAGGGUCACAUUGUGCUGACCCAGCAGUGAGAGAAAUGUACCUAUAUUCAUUCAUAUAGUUCCCAAACUCAGUCUUGGUAUUGACUUUGUGGCUGAGCUAUGCACCGUCUGAAACCAAAUGGAAUUUGUGUUUUCCCUAAGGUGGGCUAUUGUGUCCUUGUACAUCCGGUGUGAGUUCGGUGUCCGGUGUGAGUUCGAGAAAGGUUUUUAUUUUGCUUUAAAGUAACUCAGCAUACAGUUCAGGAUCACCUUCUCACGUGCCAAACAGUGGGCUGUAAAUCUCUGACAAUGUAAAUUAGUCACUAACUAAAAUAAGAAGACAUGAUUAAUCACUUCAGAGACUACCUGGCAGAAUUACAAGUCAGUGACUAUAAUAUUACUUACUGACAUAUACCCUACAAUAAUUCUGGCACACACUUCAUCACCUGGUAUUGCCUAAAACGUAAUCCUUAUGAACUGAAAAGUGGCAAAAAUGGUCCCUGAGGUGUCCUGUGAUUACUCCAAAACAGAUAGGGGAUGAAAGAAUGCUGCCAAUAUGCAUUUCAAGUCAUCAAAUGUUAAUUUUAUUCAUGAUUUAUAAUAUUUCUGAGUAAUGUGCCCCACAUGUAUUCCUUUUUAUUUAUAAGACUGAUUUUUAUCUGAACAAAUAAAACCUAUCUCAAAGCCAUAA